GCUGCUUAGUGGUGCAGCUGGUAGCACUGCUGCUUUGCAUCAAGAAGGUCCUGAGUUUGAAUCCCAGCCUCAGCU
This is a non-coding RNA of Crenichthys baileyi (White River springfish), 75 nucleotides long. The record is from the annotation of a GenBank genome assembly. Lineage: Eukaryota; Metazoa; Chordata; Actinopteri; Cyprinodontiformes; Goodeidae.